Molecule: ribosomal RNA, 91 nt
Filed under: uncultured bacterium
Lineage: Bacteria
Description: partial 16S ribosomal RNA
Rfam family: Bacterial small subunit ribosomal RNA
Source: RNAcentral
CUCGUCACACCAUGGGGAGUCAAUUGCUCCAGAAGUCGGCGUGCCAACCGCAAGGAGGCAGCCGCCCAAGGAGUGAUUGGUGACUGGGGUG